AGGGGGCUGUCUGGAGAGACCCCCCCCGGGCGCUGAGUCACCUGCGAGCUUGGGGUGCUGACCCCCCCCCCCCCCCGGGAGGCAGGGUAGGGACUCCGGUACUCACCGGCCUGGGAGAGCUCUGCUUCGCGCUGGCGUCCUCUUUUGUGGGCUGCCCCACCACCCCUGGCGAUGGUCUAGGCAGGGUCAUAGUUGCCCCGAGUAGGAGCAACAGGCGGCCUGGUCGUGGUUGGGACCCGCGAAAAAGCCCGGCCGCCGGCAGGGCGGGGUGCUGGAGGGCGAAGUCCGGGUGCCGCUGGGGAGCCCCCCGAAGGGGUCGGCGGGGAAGGUGAGAGAAGAAACGCGCGAGCCCGGAGAGCGCGCUGAACAGGAAGACGAGCAGCUGCAGAGCAGCAGGCGAGGCUGGGGGCUGUGGGGACAGAAAGAGAGAACGAGAGACAACUAGAACCGGUUACUGGAGGGCCCAGCUCCAGACUGAAGAACAAGUGCACUUCGUGCCACUUACUGAGCUUUGAAGUUGAAGUUGGAAGCCCAAGAGGCUUUUGGAGAACCGACAGCUGCUAGCUCAAGUUGGGGAGAUGAGUUGGAAACCUUUCAGAGCCUGCUUUGGUGCCUGGCCUUCUUCUCUCCAGGAGGGGGAGACAACAGGGGACCUCUCGGAUUCCUCUAGCACGGAGCAAGCUAGUGCCUUGACCUAGAAGGGGCAGCCAUACCUGGGAAGAUAGCGGUGAGCACCUGCUGGGGUUGGCCACCCUUGGAACUUCAGUGGAAGGACCCUGUCUAAAGAACUGAACAAACUUGGUUCCCUGCGACCCAGAGCCCACUAGAUCUAUCCACGACUUAAAGAUUUGAGUAAAGCUGGAUGCAUUGUACGUGAACAGUCAUACACACCUGGCAAGCUUGGGUCCCCUAACUUGCUGUCACCAGCUCAAGCUUUCAACUGCUUUUGUGAGCAUCUGCUAACUUGUAACCUGACUCUUCUCUCUUCCCACCCCAACCCCUCUUCCAAAAUCAAGUGCACAGCCCUUCCCUGUUGUAUGCUUCAUUAAGCAUUUUGCUUCGGUGCUGUGCUUCAGGACAGAGAUGCCUGUGAGGAAAAUAGUGGUGAUAUGUAGGCAGAAGGAAAGUCUCUAAUCCAGUCUCAGAGACACAAAGUUAGCAGUUACCUGUUCCUCAGCAAACAUUCACAUGACCCUCUUCUUUGGAUUACUCUGGGGCCUGCAGCCUGUUCCAGGAUCAGUCUUGGAGCUAGUCUGACCACUUGUUGCUGUCAAGGCAGAGACCUGGUGAUUUCACUGCUUAAUGGGAUGAGAAGCAUCAUAGGUGUAGGGUGGGCACAUUGCCUUUGGCCCUUCAGGCAAGGACAGAGCUGCCUAGUAUCUGAUUAACAACAAAAUGUGAUCUGUGAAAGUUCACAGAUCUGGGGAAAGACCUUCAGUUGCUUCUGUGCUCAUGACUCUAUAUUUCUGUCUCCCUUUUCAACCAGACUCUAAGUGCCAGUCAGAGGAUUUCAAUAAUAUUAGACACAAAGUGGGAUCUUUUUGGAGACUCCCCCCCAACACACAAAACCCUAGGGAAUACUUAAUUUUGAUCCAAUAUCCACUUCCACAAUUAAUCAUGUUGAUGACUGGACCAUACAGAAGAGAAAAAUCACCACAGUCUCAAAUUAACAUAAAUCCUCAACCUUUUAAAAAGCAAACUGAACCAGAUCACAUCAAAUCGAUGGUGUUUACAGUCAACAAUAUUUGUACACCUUUCCCAUAUUUGGGAGCUACUCUCUUCUCUGAUCCAGCUUUCUGUUCCUUUUCCCAGUCAUGACAUCAUCUCCUCAGACAAUAACUUGGAUCCACCUGCAUAUCAGAUUUCAGGCUCAGGGGAAAAAAAAACAACAAACUAGCAUAGCCACAGGCCCUUUGGAAUAUAACUAAAAUAUGCCUACUAGCUAUCUACAAAAUGGAGACCCCCCCCAACUCUUCAUCUGCACUACUCCAGCCUUUAGGUUCAUGAUUAGUCAACAACUUGUUUGGCUUUAUAUGUUAACUCUCUUUUCAGCCACCAGGUUCCAGAUGCUAGCUAGCAUGAUGCCAACCAGACUUCCCUGGACAGACAACCCCAACAAUGUGUCCUGGAGCUCUGCUCCCCCAGAGCCCUUCCCUACUAGGGAAAGAGAGAGACAGGUUGGGAGUAUGGAUCAGCCUGUCAACAUCCAUGUUCAGCGGGGAAGCAAU
Molecule: long non-coding RNA, 2228 nt
Organism: Erinaceus europaeus (western European hedgehog)
Lineage: Eukaryota; Metazoa; Chordata; Mammalia; Eulipotyphla; Erinaceidae
Exons: 2
Source: RefSeq, a predicted model, not a curated record